UGGGGGAUAGUGCACAAUGGGCGAAAGCCUGAUGCAGCGACGCCGCGUGGGGGAUGAAGGCUUUCGGGUUGUAAACCUCUUUCGCUAUCGAACAAGGCCCGCUUAGGGUGGGUUGAGGGUAGGUGGAGAAGAAGCGCCGGCUAACUACGUGCCAGCAGCCGCGGUAAUACGUAGGGCGCGAGCGUUGUCCGGAAUUAUUGGGCGUAAAGGGCUUGUAGGCGGCUUGUUGCGCCUGCUGUGAAAACGCGGGGCUUAACUUCGCGCGUGCAGUGGGUACGGGCAGGCUUGAGUGUGGUAGGGGUGACUGGAAUUCCAGGUGUAGCGGUGGAAUGCGCAGAUAUCUGGAGGAACACCGAUGGCGAAGGCAGGUCACUGGGCCAUUACUGACGCUGAGGAGCGAAAGCAUGGGUAGCGAACAGG
This 420-nucleotide ribosomal RNA is filed under the name bacterium. RNAcentral describes it as "partial 16S ribosomal RNA". It matches the Rfam family "Bacterial small subunit ribosomal RNA", at positions 355 to 776 of the family's 1533-position model. The record is from RNAcentral.